Molecule: ribosomal RNA, 253 nt
Filed under: uncultured bacterium
Lineage: Bacteria
Description: partial 16S ribosomal RNA
Rfam family: Bacterial small subunit ribosomal RNA
Source: RNAcentral
AACGUAGGACGCAAGCGUUAUCCGGAGUUACUGGGCGUAAAGCGUGCGCAGGCGGUUAUGCAAGACAGAUGUGAAAUCCCCGGGCUCAACCUGGGAACUGCAUUUGUGACUGCAUGGCUAGAGUACGGUAGAGGGGGAUGGAAUUCCGCGUGUAGCAGUGAAAUGCGUAGAUAUGCGGAGGAACACCGAUGGCGAAGGCAAUCCCCUGGACCUGUACUGACGCUCAUGCACGAAAGCGUGGGGAGCAAACAGG